Molecule: ribosomal RNA, 103 nt
Filed under: Escherichia coli
Lineage: Bacteria; Pseudomonadati; Pseudomonadota; Gammaproteobacteria; Enterobacterales; Enterobacteriaceae
Also listed under: 7 other names
Source: RNAcentral
CGCGGUGGUCCCACCUGACCCCAUGCCGAACUCAGAAGUGAAACGCCGUAGCGCCGAUGGUAGUGUGGGGUCUCCCCAUGCGAGAGUAGGGAACUGCCAGGCA